CGCAGAGAGAGAAAGCAACUCCAAUUUUUACUUUUCUCUCUCUUUCUUUCUCGCUCACAACUGGGGCACGAACGAAACGAAACGAAACGAACGAACGAAGACUCCACUUUGGUCUUGCAAAGUCCUUCCCAACCGAAAUUCAAAUCCCCCUUCCAGGCUUCCCCUCUCAAUUAGGGUUAGGGUUUCCCAAACUCCGCCAAGCUGGAUAGGUACAGAGUAGACCGCUAUGGCCACAACAACGACGACGACGCCCCUGACUACCGUCGUCCCUCUCUCUUCUCCGACGCCCCCGUCAACCCUCAGCCCCACCUCCCUCGCCGCAGCCCCCCUAACUACCGCGGCGCCGGCGCCGCCCGUGGCUUCGACAGUCCGCCUCUUCACUCUCCCGCAGGAGGAUUCCAGCCAUUGAUGCCCGCCGCCGGUGCCGGAGGGUUUCGCCCUUCCCACCCCGACCCUCCGCCGCUCUCCGGUCAGAAACGAGGCCAUCCUUUCUCUGCCCGUGGUGGCUCUCCAGAUCGUUUUGAUAGAGGAGGGUUUGCCAAGCUUUUCGUUGGAUCAGUUCCGAGGACAGCCACUGAGGGAGAGAUUCGCCCUUUGUUUGAAGAACAUGGAGAAGUGGUAGAGGUUGCGCUGAUCAAAGACAAGAAAACAGGACUGCAGCAAGGUUGUUGUUUUAUUAAAUAUGCAACCUCAGAAGAAGCUGAUAGGGCCAUUAGAGCUUUGCAUAAUCAACAUACUCUUCCUGGGGGAGUAGGUCCUAUCCAAGUCAGAUAUGCUGAUGGGGAACGAGAACGCCUUGGUGCAGUUGAGUACAAACUGUUUGUGGGCUCACUGAACAAACAAGCUACGGAAAAGGAAGUUGAGGAAAUUUUUUCACCAUAUGGUCUAGUUGAAGAUGUUUACCUCAUGCGUGAUGAAUUGAAGCAGAGUCGUGGAUGUGGAUUCGUUAAGUAUUCCCGCCGAGAUAUGGCGUUGUCAGCAAUAAAUGGUCUAAACGGGCGCUACACUAUGAGAGGUUGUGAGCAACCACUAACUGUCCGGUUUGCUGAUCCUAAAAGGCCUAGGCCUGGAGAAUCAAGGGGUCCUUCUUUUGGAGGUCCAGGUUUUGGUCCUCGGUUUCAAAGCCCAGGGGCCAGACCAGUACCUAACUUUGGUGAUCCUACGAGUGAUCAAAUUCCAACCAAUGCUUGGCAUCCAAUUAGUCCACCAAACUUGGUGCCAUCCCCCAAUCCUGGUAUUCGUGGCUUCGGGGCCCAUUUGCUUCCUAGGUCUGGAGACAUGGGACCCUUUAAUUCGGGCGGCCAUGGCAGCUCUGUAGAGGGUCCUCAUCCUGUGAUGGCAGUUUCAUCUCAAACAACACAGCAGAAUCUUAACCAGUCGAUGCCACAUAUGGGCCAGCAAAUUUCCCCAUUACAGAAGCAUAAUCAGUCACCUCAGCAUUUGCCGCCUUCCCUUCAUCAGCACCCUCAAACUCCAGCACCCUACGCACUCACACAAACAGCACGGCAGGUUGGUCAACCACAGCUUCCUCCUUCUGCUGGCCAAACACCAUUUAAUCAAGCUUUACCAUCACAAAGGUUACAUGGGUUGGGCGGACAGCUGUCGGCCUCUCAGCCUGAGGUCCAGCAGAAUGCAUCAUCUGCUCCUGCAUUACCAACCCUUUUGAAUAUCAACUUAAAAUCCCAUUCGAUGUCCGCAACAAAUCAACAGCAACGUCCUUCUGCUCCUGUUCAACAACAACUUCAAACGCUUCAGCAGUCUCCUUCUCAGUUAGCUCAGAUGCUGUCGCAACAGACACAAACUUUGCAGGCAAGCUUUCAAUCGUCUCAGCAGGCGUUCUCGCAGCUGCAACAACAGGUGCAGCAAAUGCAACCAUCAAAUCAGGGUCUGUCGCUGCAUCAGACUUCCCAGUCCAAUAAACAGCAGCAGUCUCAAUGGAAUGGAAUAGUACCACAGACAGUUGCAAAUACCCCUGCUACAACACCAGCUGCAGAUGUGCUUUCAGCCACAUCUGUUGCUCCUGCUAUACCUGUAACAAACCAGACUAUAACUCCUGCAAAAUGUAUUUGGACAGAGCACACCUCCCCGGAUGGAUACAAGUACUAUUAUAAUAGUGCAACUGGUGAAAGCAGGUGGGAAAAACCUGCCGAACUUGCAUUGUUUGAGCAACAGCAGCACCACCAAAAGACAUCAGUUCAGCAGCCUCAGACCCCUUCACUACCUCAAAAUGUAUCUGCGCAGCAGCAAGCUUCUCAAACACAACAGAUGCAUCUUCAAUCUCAUCUUCAUCCACAGCCUCGGCCCAAUCUUCAGUCUCAACAGCCAUCUUUGUCUUCAACGUACCAGGCUUCUGGAAUUGUAGGCCAACAAAAUGCUCAGGACUUCGGAUUUUCAAAGUUACCCCCAACAACCAGCUCAGUUAGUGAUCCUCGCUUCCAACAGGGGCUUCAUUCUGCUCAGGAAUGGAUGUGGAAGAACAAGCCAACAGGUUCUAUUUAAUUUUUCUGAUCCUGCUUUAUGUUCCCCUUAAAACCAUGGGCUUUACUGCUUCAUUUAUGGUGCUUGAAGUGGUUGAGCAGAGUUCAAGGUGUCACAUGGGCAUAGGAAUUGAUGCUUGGAGAGAGGUAGAUGAAGGAGAGGGUGUUGUCGUUGUCAUCAAUCUUGAUAGCAAGGCAGUAAGGUCUUUGAGCUUGAAAAUGCCAAAUUGGAUUUAUGAGGGGAAUAUUUCCUUCAGGCAUUCGGUUUCUUUUGCAUGAGCUUCGACUGUUUAUAGUUACUGGCUCGCUAAGUUAAACACUUGUGCCAUAGUAUUGGGCAAGAAAUUGCCUGAAAUGAGUUGUAGGAUGUAACUCUCGUGUAACAUAGAAUCUAACAGUGGUAAUAUCUAGUAUAGCUGUAUUAAGAAGGCAGGUUGGCAAUUCAUUGAAGGGCUGCAUGCCUUUCAAUUUUUCCAGACAUUGAGAAUUGCCAGUUGCCCCACCCUUUGAGGAAA
RNA transcript from Rosa rugosa (rugosa rose), 2992 nucleotides. It is a transcript of the gene named flowering time control protein FCA, with no coding region annotated. The transcript has 19 exons. The record is from RefSeq and is a predicted model, not a curated record. Lineage: Eukaryota; Viridiplantae; Streptophyta; Magnoliopsida; Rosales; Rosaceae.